Molecule: ribosomal RNA, 253 nt
Filed under: uncultured bacterium
Lineage: Bacteria
Description: partial 16S ribosomal RNA
Rfam family: Bacterial small subunit ribosomal RNA
Source: RNAcentral
UACGAAGGGGGCUAGCGUUGCUCGGAAUCACUGGGCGUAAAGCGCACGUAGGCGGAUCUUUAAGUCAGGGGUGAAAUCCUGGAGCUCAACUCCAGAACUGCCUUUGAUACUGGGGAUCUCGAGUCCGGAAGAGGUGAGUGGAACUCCGAGUGUAGAGGUGAAAUUCGUAGAUAUUCGGAAGAACACCAGUGGCGAAGGCGGCUCACUGGUCCGGUACUGACGCUGAGGCGCGAAAGCUAGGGGAGCAAACGGG